This 773-nucleotide ribosomal RNA is filed under the name uncultured Neocallimastigales. Its description in RNAcentral is "partial large subunit ribosomal RNA". It matches the Rfam family "Eukaryotic large subunit ribosomal RNA", at positions 22 to 634 of the family's 3401-position model. Lineage: Eukaryota; Fungi; Neocallimastigomycota; Neocallimastigomycetes; Neocallimastigales. The record is from RNAcentral.
CAUAGCGACUAUCGUGGCAUAUCAAUAAGCGGAGGAAAAGAAACUAACAAGGAUUCCCCUAGUAACGGCGAGUGAAGCGGGAAGAGCUCAAAUUUGAAAUCUUAAAGGGUUUCCCUUUACGAAUUGUAGUUUAAAGAAGUGUUUUCUGUUGAAGUUUCGGUAAAAGUUCUUUGGAAUAGGACAUCAUAGAGGGUGAGAAUCCGUAUUUGACCGUUAUUUUCAGCUGUGUGAUACACUUUCAAAGAGUCGGAUUGUUUGGGAAUGCAGUCCAAAAUGGGUGGUAAAUUUCAUCUAAAGCUAAAUAUUGGCGAGAGACCGAUAGCGAACAAGUACCGUGAGGGAAAGAUGAAAAGAACUUUGAAAAGAGAGUUAAACAGUACGUGAAAUUGUCGAAAGGGAAGCGUUUGACACCAGUGUUGUUUUUCCGAAAAUCAAUUAUGAAUGGCUUGAUUUUAAGUUUCAUGACCUUAAAAGCUUGUUUCUUAUUUUUCAUGUCUUUCGUAAUGUACUUUUCGGUUAACAAGUCAACAUCAAUUUCUUUUGUUGUAAAAGGUUAUGAGGAAGGUGGCUUUACUUUCGGAGUAAAGUGUUUAUAGCUUUGUACCUCUGCAAUCGGAGAGAUUGAGGUCUGCAGCGUAGAUCCUUCGGGGUUAGAUACAUUUGUGCUAAGUUAUAGCUUUCAUAGACAACUUGUUGACUAUGAUUAGUCAUUGUAGCUUACUCGCUGACGCUAUUUUACCUACGCUUAGGAUGUUGAUAGUCACAGCGUGUAC